CUCUUAUCAAGAGUUGGCUGAGGGAAUUGGCCCAAUGAAGCCCAGCAACCGACCGUAAUACUAUCGUGAGAUAGGGCGCACGCCAAGGGCGGCGCCGGAAGCGUCAUGCUUCCGCAGGGCACGGUGCUAAGUCCAACAGAAAGACCGAUGUCUUUCUGAAAGAUAAGAG
This is a non-coding RNA of Geobacillus sp. CAMR12739, 169 nucleotides long. NCBI's taxonomy places the organism in Bacteria, Bacillati, Bacillota, Bacilli, Caryophanales, Anoxybacillaceae. The record is from Rfam.